This 301-nucleotide ribosomal RNA is filed under the name uncultured bacterium. Its description in RNAcentral is "partial 16S ribosomal RNA". It matches the Rfam family "Bacterial small subunit ribosomal RNA", at positions 509 to 809 of the family's 1533-position model. The record is from RNAcentral.
CAGUCGCCGCGGGAAUACGGAGGGUGCAAGCGUUAAUCGGAAUUACUGGGCGUAAAGCGCACGCAGGCGGUCUGUCAAGUCAGAUGUGAAAUCCCCGGGCUUAACCUGGGAACUGCAUUUGAAACUGGCAGGCUAGAGUCUUGUAGAGGGGGGUAGAAUUCCAGGUGUAGCGGUGAAAUGCGUAGAGAUCUGGAGGAAUACCGGUGGCGAAGGCGGCCCCCUGGACAAAGACUGACGCUCAGGUGCGAAAGCGUGGGGAGCAAACAGGAUUAGAUACCCCGGUAGUCCCUGUCUCUUAUAA